UACGGGGGGGGCAAGCGUUGUUCGGAAUUACUGGGCGUAAAGGGCUCGUAGGUGGUCAACUAAGUCAUACGUGAAAUCCCUCGGCUUAACCGGGGAACUGCGCCUGAUACUGGUUGACUUGAGUUUGGGAGAGGGACGCGGAAUUCCAGGUGUAGCGGUGAAAUGCGCAGAUAUCAGGAGGAACACCGGUGGCGAAGGCGGGUCUCUGGGCCGUAACUGACGCUGAGGAGCGAAAGCGUGGGGAGCGAACAGG
RNAcentral lists this ribosomal RNA (253 nucleotides) under uncultured bacterium. RNAcentral describes it as "partial 16S ribosomal RNA". It matches the Rfam family "Bacterial small subunit ribosomal RNA", at positions 524 to 776 of the family's 1533-position model. The record is from RNAcentral.